Molecule: long non-coding RNA, 4862 nt
Organism: Phyllopteryx taeniolatus (common seadragon)
Lineage: Eukaryota; Metazoa; Chordata; Actinopteri; Syngnathiformes; Syngnathidae
Exons: 3
Source: RefSeq, a predicted model, not a curated record
GCUGUGUGGUGGUGGGUGUGCGCCAGGCUCCACAAACCUCCACUCACUCGAUUUCCUUUCAACAAGCGCACUGGAACACGUGUGUGUUAGCAUUGGCGUGUGUGGACGUUAGCUUUCAAGUGUUAUAGCAUUGGUCAAUUCCAAGUCCGGAUCAGGACGGCGAGACAUUUAACGUCUUGCGUGAAAGCCCAAAGUCGCCGUGGUUCCCGUCAUUGUCUCCAUGGUGACUGGCAGGCCACAGCCCAGACGCUCAGGCUCCUCUUGAUGAUGUCACCGAGGUCCAAUCGGGUCAUAAUUGCCGUUUAAUGAUCUCGGCGCCGAAGUCGGCGGAUGGCGUCUCCGCGGCGACCGAGCACUCAAAGGCGGACGCGGUCGUGUCCUGCGGGGGGGCGGUGGACUUCUGCCACCAAUUUGUGCUCCCUUCCAGCCUCCGUGACUCCAUCGAUUUUCACUGGAGGCUUGUUGUAAUUAAAUAUCACAUGACUUUAUGAUGACAAUAUAAUUACGUCCUCGGGCUCUCGCUGCACGCUGCGCUCGGCUCACUGACUUCUCCGCGUAAUGUUCCGCAUUUUUCACCCGCGUCGGCCUCGCGUGCAUCCUCGGUUCUUGAUCUACAACACCCACGUAACAUCCACAAAACCCUCAGAUAACAAGCUGAUAACUUCAAGGAUAAUGUCUAAAAUAUGAAGAAAAAAAAAGCCUGAUAGUAUGUCAUUUACAUCUAAUUCAUAUCCAGAAAAAAAAUCAAGGUAGCAUAGAAAAAAAUUAUCUAGAUCUCAUUAAAAAAAAAAAAACUUGCAGAUAUUUUCCAAACAACAUCCUGGUAAGGUCGUGAUCACAUCUGGAUAACAAGUAGAAACAUCUUAAGAAAAACAGUCAGAUCUCAUUUACAUAUCCUGUAAUUAAUAUCCAGAAAACAUCCAAAUGGACAUUUGCACAUACCAUGGAAACAACAUCCAAAUAGGCUCCAGAUAAUGUCAAAAAAAACUUAUUAAUCACGUCCAGAUCACCAAUCAAAUCAUAUCUAAAAAAAUUUGAAUAUCUAAAAAGAUCUAGUUAGCAUGCCGCUUAUAUCAAUAAAAUGUCCUAAUAGUAUCCAAAACAAUCUAAAUAAACAGCCACAGAGCUUGCAGAUAACGUCAACAUUCCAAUAACAUCUAAAAAAAAAAAAAAAAAAAGAAACGUCUGAAUAACAUCUAAAGAAUCUAAAAAAAAAAAUGUGUUUUUUAAAACAUAUCCAGAUACCAUCCAGAAAUUCAAUCUAAAAAAAAACAACUGGGUAACAUCCAGAAAACAUUUAGAUAACAGCCGUCAUCAGUAUCACCCACAAACAUGUGGAUGAUAUCUAGAAAACAUCUAAAAAAAGACAAAAACAAAAAGCAACAUGAUCUGUAAAACAUAAUCCAGAAAACCUCCUGAUAACAUCUGAAAUCAGUUCGAUAUCAUCUUGGAGAUUUCCAGAUCGCAGAUCAAAAAAAUGAGAUGUUGCGAUAAAAAUGAGCUCAUAGUGAAAUAACAUGCGGAUAACGUGCAGAUAAGCCGACGACAACAUUCGGUCGGACAGCUCGCACCACGCGGCUGUGUGUGUGUGUGUCGUCUGUGACGUGUGUGCGUGCGUGCGUGUGCGUGUGUGUCUCCGAGGCCCAGCAUGAAUCCCAUGAAGUAUUGAUGAUUGGCAAGCUUUCCUCAUGGAUGCUGUGUGAUGUUGAACCAAUCAACAACAUCAGCGAAGCAUAUAAACGCUGGCGAAAGACUUGAAACGUAUUGAUGGAAAUUUUCUACUGGAUCUUUUUAACUCUGUAGGGAUUGGUCGUCAUUUACCGACACGUAUUUCUUUCAUAACAAUUCAAGUUCUUAACGUAGUAAACUCGGGCUAUCAUCUGUAGUUAAAGUUCAACAAUUGCUUGAGUUCCCAAUUCCCAACUUUAUGAUGAUGUAUGUUGUAGGACAUCAUUACACGCAGACAAUCGGUUAUGCCUCAAACAAAGCUCCUCCUCUGUUUCGAGACGGCUUUUCCCGUUUGACAUAGAAACGUAACCCUACCUUAACCACAACCCUGCAGUUAAUCAUUCGAAGCAAAAAAUUCGACUAUCAAAGCACGUCAAUAGCGAGCUGCACACAUUCCUACAUUUAAUGAAAAAAAAGCAUCUUUGCUGACUAUGGUGGAUUUUGUCUAAAUGUUUUGGUUUUGUCAUGUUAUCCGGUAGUAAAUAUUGAGUCGUACGUGGCACGGUUGCAUGCGGUUACAUUGGGCUUUCGUAAAGUAUUGACGGGAUCUGCGAUUGCAAUGUGAUCGUGGCGCUAUUAACUGUCAGUGGGGUAAGUCCCUCAAGCCUCACGUCUCUUGUACGUACUGGAGCGCCGUUAUCUUCGUCUGCCGCUGACCGCCAUGAACAAGAAUCUUUUCCACUCGCAGCUCUCCAUCUGGCAUCCGAUCAAAGCCCGACGUUGCGUCCUUGUCGUCUUUUUGAGCGUCGCUAAAUGAGGUUUGCGCUGGGAGCGCGGCCCCCCCCCCCCGUCUGACUUUUAUCUCCGCCGGGGCGUAAACAAGACGACGACGCAACGAGCAGAAGAAAGCCUCGUCUUCGUGCUAUGAGACGAGAGACUGCAGUUUAUUUUAGUAAUGAGCUCUUGUCUUGCAGCUGGAUGUUUGUGUUCCGCGAGCCCACCGGAGGCUGUAGCACACGUCCGCUGGAGAUGUUGCCUCGCAGACACGCUUCUUCAGCGUGUGAUUACACUUCGCCUGUGGCAGCCUCAGCCACGUUGCCUCCUGUUGACUGGAUGCCUGGCGCACAGCACGACAAUAGAAAUAAUCACCACGGGAGCAACAUUGUGCGGACGAUCGUAUAAUGUGAAAAAUAUAUCACGGGAAUAGAAUUGAAUUCGGUUAACCUUAACAUUACCUUUACCUGGGAAAGCUAAAAACUCAAUUCAAUUGAACUCAAUUCGAUUUUUGGGAGAGCACUUUUGAGAUGAACUGCUGUACGUAAAUACAAAUCCAACAAUUGAAGGUAACGGAAUUUUGAAACAAUACAAAACAAAGGCUUUGCAAGCUGCCUGGCGAGAUUUUUAAGGACUCAAAAACAUUUGCCAACAAAAUCUAGUCGGCUGUCGUACUACGGGAUACACGACACUAAAGCUGACAAUACGGAAGAACACUUGGAAGUGGUCUGUAGUGGGACGGGGAGGGUAUAUUUCCUGGCACUUCACAUUCACUUUGCCUGCAAUGCCCCCCGACGAGUUUUAGUUCUAUUUUAUAGUCAUCGGCAUUUCCGUGAAGCCGAAUAAGCUCACCACAAGCACUUACACGCGCAGUAACAAACGUUCGGGUCUUAAAUGUAGCAUGAAGGUGCUAACGAGCAGUGAUCAGCAGACGCAUUCAUGAAAUAAGUCAAGAUGAGUGAGUGAAUAAGAACGAGGAGCUGGUAAGUUUCUGUUUCCUGUUCUGUUUGUGAGCGUUAACAUGUCGGACGAGACGUUGGGUGUUAAAUUUAGGCCGACGGGAGUGCGGCGUGAGAUGAAAUGAAGCCGGAGGGGAGCACGUCGCUAACAGUGGGAGCUCGCCGAGGGAGGAGGUGAAUAUGAAUGAUGCAACACUGCACCAUUCUUUGUUCUCACUUUUUUUUUUUUUUUUUUUUUUUAACUCCGUCUUCUUGUUGGAGGGAUGCCACGCAUGCUACACACCCGCAUUCCCGUCACGGACGCUUUGAAUAAUACCCAAGUUGAACUUCUAACCCAAAUGUAACGCUAGCGCUACCGUAAAAACCAUCCCAGACCUUCCGGCUGGUCCCCAAAAAAACGCUGCAGCACAAGUUCGAACCACAACAUCGGCGCGGUCAAAACACGGUCGACACGUUUUCCGGUCCCGCCUCCCCCGAUAGCUUGAUUUGACAAGAUUAGCCCGAUGGUCAUACAAAACGGCGUGUCGUGUUGCCAGCGUUCUGAGCGAAUUGGCUUUGUAGUCCGAUUCGGCCAUCAAUUCCGCUGCUAUUCGCCAAGUCCGCCGGGGGAUCGCCCGCGAUGCACCCAGCUUUCCUUCCUCUUUUCUUCUCUCGAUCUUUCUUAUCUCGACACAUUCACACGAACAUCAAAACCGCGACUGCGGUCACGGCUAUCGUGAGGUGUGCUAUUGACGUGCGGUAUGUUCCUCAAACCGAAGCCUACCUGAAACCUCGGCUUAGCGUUGGCCAGCCCAGCAUGUUUCCACGAGUGUUGUGUUGUCCCGAGGUCUAGCUGCAAUCUCCCGCCUUAACCGCUCCCUCCUAUCCAAUCUUAACGCACCUUUCAAACUAAGAAUAGAGCUGUGUCACAUUAAGUUAACAUUGCUCCGCCUCCCUCGUUUCCGCCGCCAUCGCUCUCUCCCCAAAAAUCCAGUCGGGGGCCGAGAACGAGAGGACGCCGGCGGCCAUAAAGAUGACGGAUGCGCGGGGCGGCCGGCGGCUUUUUUUUUACGGCCCGCGGCGGCACUUCAUUAGAGUGCGAAUGAAAUUGCCGGGCGGCCAUAAUUGACCUCUGGAAAGCUCAACGCUCGUCUUCCACGCCAACUAUUAGAGGAACUACUUUUCUAUCAGUAUGACACCUACGCUGAUGGAUUCGCUUUUUUAGGGCGGAAGAGCAACAGGUGGGGAAUACUAAUUAAUUAAUUACAAGUGGGGACAUUUCUUCACUUUUUUUUCUCCAGAAGAAAACAUGUAAAUAGAAUGAAUCCGUUGCGGUGUCAAACGUACAUCUUUAAAGUGUUAGGAUAAUGCUUUAAGUCAUGUUCAGGCACAAAUAGAAGGCACAAAAUAUGGAAAAAAAAAUCAUUUCUUGAGUGUGUUAAUAGGCUACAAGAUUAGCUGCAAGUCUCACAUUAACAACAC